CGAGCACUGGCCAGCGCGCAGCUGGCUGGACCCGCGGGGCCGGCAGCUCCCGGGCUGGGAGGGGCGCCGAGAGCCGGACAGAUUGCAGGCCGGGGAGCAGGAGGACGGGCUCGGAACCGGACCCGGCGGCCCGGAGAAGUCAUCCGGAACCGUGAGUCUGAAAGCUUCUCCAAGCAGCUUCUUCCUAUGCCCAGAUCCGCUGUGCCCUGACUUCUCACCUGCUCAGAAAGAUGGAGUCGGUAUCCUUGGAGGACGUGGCC
Sorex fumeus (smoky shrew) is the source of this 260-nucleotide long non-coding RNA. RefSeq lists it as uncharacterized. The record is from RefSeq and is a predicted model, not a curated record. The transcript is spliced from 3 exons. NCBI's taxonomy places the organism in Eukaryota, Metazoa, Chordata, Mammalia, Eulipotyphla, Soricidae.